CGUCACUGCCGCCGAACUCCGGGAAUCCCGCCACCGCCGAACUCCGGGAAUCGCCGCCGCAAAGUCUCCAGGGCAGGGCGGUUUCAAACCCUGCUGACGAACUCAAAGAUACGCAUAAUCAUUGCCGCCGCCCCCCUCCUCUGACUGCCCCGCGGUCUUCUAUCUCUCCCAACUCCGCUGUCGCGCCCCGUCUUCCGUCUCUGCAUGAAUCGCGGCUGUGGCAGCCACUCCCCAUGGCGGCCAUCCUGGCACACUGUGUCCGGGAUGAUGGAGGUGAUGUCGGCCAGGUCCCUGUUUCCGUCGGCAUCUUCUGCGAUGGGACCCGUGGGGGCAGGUCGCGCGCUGCUCAUCUGCGUCGAUGGCGUCGGCGUGGUCCUUCCCCUGCCAAGCGUGGCUGCUCCUUGGCUGGAUCACAAUGAUGAUACAGUCGCCUCGGCGGGGGCUAGGGAUCUCGCUGGCUGGCGUUUAUUUGAUGUUUGGUUGUUCCAAUCGUGAUGGAACGGACGUAUAAUGUACUGUACAAGAAUUUGGACGAGGCUCAUUUGCGUGGAUGGUGUGGCUUGGCUGCCGGGCACACAAUCCAUUGAUUCACACAUAAGGUUUGCCUUUUUUCUUCUCUUUGCAUUCUUUUCUAUUAAGUUUGCAGAUUGUUUGUGUUGGCCAACGAAAAAAGAUUUAGGAUCCUAGAUUUAUACAGUUUAAGAACUUACAAAGUUUAGCAAGUAUAUCUGGUUCUGAACUUUGGAAGAGUGCUUAUAACAGUAAUUUCUUCAGUCUUUUGUAAUUCCGAUUUAAUAUCAAUUCUGUUGUAGUAGCAUCCUUGUAGUUCACCAUUGGAAUGUGCACAUGUAGUCUUUAUUAGUAAUACAGUUUCUUGAUUCUUGAAUUCUGAGCUGAAUGUGCACAUUUAGUCUUUAUUAGUAAUACAGUUUCUUGAUUCUUGAAUUCUGAGCUGAAUGUGCACAUUUAGCAACCACUGCGUACGUACGUGCUCUAAUGGAAAGAACGUAGCCGACACAGACCGUAGCCAUCUACACCAAGGCUCCUCCGCCCUACCGAGUCUUGCAAGCAAUCGUCGUAAGAAAUAUUCCAUUUGAUGCCGGCAUGCGUUGUUGUUCCACUGUCGCAACCAUCCAUCUACACACCAAAUGUCAAAACCGAGUCGCCGUGUUCACAAUGCUGGGCAUUAUUUAUAUCAAGGGACGAGGAGGAAGAUUUGGAUGACCGUAACCACAAUGGCAAGGGCAGCAACAUGGUCGUCACCUGCAAUGCCGAUGGAUGCUGAGAUUAUGUUGUUUGGUUUAUUUGUUGAAAGUUACAGCCCAUGUUUCAUGAUUUAUUUGCCGCCGGUUAAUCAUGAUAUUUUGAAGUGCUCUGACAAUUGCUUGCUGUCUGCAUCUCUUACUUUUCAACUUGCUGCAUAUACAGAUAUACAUCAUUAGAAUCUGUUUGUACUUAUUCAACAUGCUUCAGUUAUGCUUCUUUGAAAAUCCAGUUGUAGAUGCAGUGAAGCCCCAUUUAGAUCUUGGCUAUAGUAUUAUUCUUGUCUUAUGACUCAUGACGGAUUGAUAUGUGAUACCAUGACAUAGCAUUGUGGUACCGUGGUAGUCACAUUUGGUGGUAGUUCUGAUUAUUUGCUAGAUUACGAGAUAAGACCAAGUGCUUCUGCAACUCGGUUGCGGUUUUGAUAGGAACAUGAAGACUUUGCCAUGCCAUGGAGCAUGUUUGAUUUAAAGGACAUAGUUGCUCCAAUAUAUUGAGCAGGGAAGAAGUUUGUUACAAGUGUUUUAUAGAGUUGACGCAAGAGACAUCCGACGGGAUACAUUGGUGCAGGAAUCGACGAAGAAGCUUCCGUUCAGCAUGGUAUCUCAAUGGAAGAAUAUCCGAAGCAAACCUCCGCUACUUCUCUGUUCCCUUUCAUUUGUCGUGGGAAGACCUUAGGAAGGUAGGAAGACCUUAGGAAGAGUGGGUGGGAGGAAGGGAGGCAUGUGCUAUAGAUGUAGGCGAACAAUGGUCCUUGGAAAUUAUUAGUACUUUACAAAAUGUCUGUCCCCUGUGACGCCUACAAUGAGCGAGAGAGGGUGGAAGGAAGGGAGACCGGAGGAAGGAAGAUGGGGAUAUAUGUAGAGAGAGGGAGAUAGGAGGAAGGGAGAUGGGCAUAUAUGUAGAGAGAGGACGAUCAGAGAGGGAGGGAAGAUUUACAGGACGAUUGAAGUUGAGCCACUCAAAUAUGUAUGUCUCUGUGGCAUCGCCUGGGCAAUUAACUAUAGAAAAAUUCAAGGCUAUUUUUUAAAGUGACAUUUAUUCACGCCGAUAAUUUCCAGGUACAUCAUGUUGAACAAUUUUACUUAUGUUUUGAGUGGUCAAUAUUCUUUACCGCUGGCCACAUAUCUCACUUGUGUUGGUCCCCUAGAAUAUGCUAAUGUUUAGUUUCCAAUUUUUCAACUAUCAAAUAUCAGUGGACUUUACAUGGUUUCCUACAAAAUAAAAA
This is a long non-coding RNA of Triticum dicoccoides, 2491 nucleotides long. RefSeq lists it as uncharacterized. The transcript has 4 exons. The record is from RefSeq and is a predicted model, not a curated record. NCBI's taxonomy places the organism in Eukaryota, Viridiplantae, Streptophyta, Magnoliopsida, Poales, Poaceae.